Molecule: small nucleolar RNA, 70 nt
Organism: Drosophila melanogaster (fruit fly)
Lineage: Eukaryota; Metazoa; Arthropoda; Insecta; Diptera; Drosophilidae
Source: Ensembl
AACAAGUUGAUGACAACCCCUUUUGACAUACAAUAUAUGUUGACAUUAACUUCCUUAGAUGUCUGAAAUA